GAAGCAGGCCAGACAGCCGCUGGCCGGCGCGUAAUGCGUCGGCGGGAGGAAGGUCCGGACUCCAUAGAGCAGGGUGACGGUUAACGGCCGUCCGCUGAAAGCCGCAAGGUAUAAGGCGAGGAAUAGGGCCACAGAGACGAGCGUAUUAAGUUACGGUGAAACGCGGUAACCUCCACCUGGAGCAAUUCCAAAUAGGCACGCGUUGAGGUGGCUCGCGGAGCGUGCGGGUAGGAAGCUUGAGCGCCGGAGUAAUUCGGCGCCUAGAGGAAUGGCUGUCAUAGCAGACGUCCGCAAGGGCGAAUGCCGUAACAAAAUCCGGCCUAUCGGCCUGCUUCACUU
RNAcentral lists this RNase P RNA (339 nucleotides) under Telluria sp. RNAcentral's name for it is "RNase P RNA component class A". It matches the Rfam family "Bacterial RNase P class A". From Rfam's summary of the family: Ribonuclease P (RNase P) is a ubiquitous endoribonuclease, found in archaea, bacteria and eukarya as well as chloroplasts and mitochondria. Its best characterised activity is the generation of mature 5'-ends of tRNAs by cleaving the 5'-leader elements of precursor-tRNAs. The record is from RNAcentral. Lineage: Bacteria; Pseudomonadati; Pseudomonadota; Betaproteobacteria; Burkholderiales; Oxalobacteraceae.